This 233-nucleotide ribosomal RNA is filed under the name uncultured bacterium. RNAcentral describes it as "partial 16S ribosomal RNA". It matches the Rfam family "Bacterial small subunit ribosomal RNA", at positions 103 to 334 of the family's 1533-position model. The record is from RNAcentral.
CGGGUGAGUAACGCGUGAGGAACCUGCCUCAAAGAGGGGGACAACAGUUGGAAACGACUGCUAAUACCGCAUAAGCCCACGGCUCGGCAUCGAGCAGAGGGAAAAGGAGCAAUCCGCUUUGAGAUGGCCUCGCGCCCGAUUAGCUAGUUGGUGAGGUAACGGCCCACCAAGGCGACGAUCGGUAGCCGGACUGAGAGGUUGAACGGCCACAUUGGGACUGAGACACGGCCCAG